RNA transcript from Mesocricetus auratus (golden hamster), 1791 nucleotides. It is a transcript of the gene named unc-51 like kinase 3, with no coding region annotated. Lineage: Eukaryota; Metazoa; Chordata; Mammalia; Rodentia; Cricetidae. The record is from RefSeq and is a predicted model, not a curated record. The transcript has 16 exons.
UUCCGGCGGGCGGCGCUGGGGCCGUGCGGAGUCCCGCCCCGCCGCCCCUCGAGCGCCCCCACUUCGCGUCGGGCCGGAACCUGCGCCCCGAACCAGGAAGCACCUGGCGGCGGGCGCGGGAUGGCUGGGCCCGGCUGGGGUCUUCCUCGGCUGGACGGUUUCAUCCUUACCGAGCGCCUGGGCAGUGGCACGUACGCCACGGUGUACAAGGCCUACGCCAAGAAGGAUACUCGGGAGGUGGUAGCCAUAAAAUGCGUGGCCAAGAAAAGUCUCAACAAGGCGUCUGUGGAAAACCUCCUGACUGAGAUUGAGAUCCUCAAGGGCAUUCGGCAUCCUCACAUUGUACACCUGAAAGACUUCCAGUGGGACAAUGACAAUAUCUACCUCAUCAUGGAGUUCUGCGCAGGGGGUGACCUGUCUCGCUUCAUCCAUACCCGCAGGAUCCUGCCUGAGAAGGUGGCUCGAGUUUUCAUGCAGCAGCUGGCUAGUGCCCUGAAGUUCCUGCAUGAACGAAACAUCUCUCACCUGGAUCUGAAGCCACAGAACAUUCUGCUGAGCUCUUUGGAGAAGCCCCAUCUGAAACUGGCAGACUUUGGCUUUGCACAGCACAUGUCCCCAAGGGAUGAGAAACAUGUGCUACGUGGCUCCCCACUCUACAUGGCUCCUGAGAUGGUGUGCCAGCGGCAGUAUGAUGCUCGUGUGGACCUCUGGUCUACGGGGGUCAUCCUGUAUGCCUCCCCUCUGCCUUCUUCCACAGAAGCCCUCUUUGGGAAGCCCCCUUUUGCCUCCAGAUCAUUCUCAGAGCUAGAAGAAAAGAUUCGCAGCAAUCGGGUUAUUGAGCUCCCCCUUCGGCCCCAACUCUCCCUAGACUGCCGUGACCUGCUGCAGCGACUUCUAGAGCGGGACCCCAGCCGUCGAAUCUCCUUCCAGGACUUCUUUGCCCACCCCUGGGUGGACCUGGAGCACAUGCCCAGUGGGGAGAGCCUGGCACGAGCAACAGCCCUUGUGGUGGAGGCUGUGAAGAAGGACCAGGAGGGGGACGCUGCUGCCGCCCUGUCACUCUACUGCAAGGCUCUGGACUUCUUUGUGCCCGCCCUGCACUACGAAGUGGAUACCCAGCGGAAAGAAGCAAUUAAGGCCAAGGUGGCGCAAUAUGUGUCCCGGGCGGAGGAGCUCAAAGCCAUUGUCUCCUCCUCCAAUCAGGCCCUGCUAAGGCAGGGCACAUCUGUCCAAGGCCUGCUUCGAGGCUUCUCCCCUCAUUCUGAGCCUUUACUCUCACAUCAGAGAUGGCCCGUGACAAACCUCGCCUCCUUGCUGCCCUGGAAGUGGCCUCAGCUGCCAUGGCCAAGGAGGAGGAAGCAGGCAAGGAGCAGGAUGCCCUGGACCUGUACCAGCACAGCCUCGGGGAGCUGCUGCUGCUGUUGGCAGCGGAAGCCCCAGGCCGAAGGCGGGAGCUACUUCACACUGAGGUUCAGAACCUCAUGGCUCGAGCUGAAUACCUGAAAGAGCAGAUCAAGAUAAGGGAAUCUCACUGGGAAGCUGAGACACUGGACAAAGAGGGACUGUCCGAGUCAGUUCGUAGCUCUUGCACACUACAGUGACACUGGAAGUACUGGUGGAUGGAACACAAGCCUAGAGAGAAGCUAUGUACCAACCCAGGUUCAUGCCUGGGCACCUGGUACCUCCAAGAUGCCCACAUCCUAGUUCCCAGAGUUCUCUGAAUGUUCUCCACCCCCAGAGGACCUGGUGGCUGAUGGACUGUGCCAGGUGUACUAAACUCUGGGAGAAUUA